UUGACGGGGACCCGCACAAGCGGUGGAUGAUGUGGAUUAAUUCGAUGCAACGCGAAAAACCUUACCUACCCUUGACAUGUCCGGAAUCCCGAAGAGAUUUUGGGAGUGCUCGCAAGAGAACCGGAACACAGGUGCUGCAUGGCUGUCGUCAGCUCGUGUCGUGAGAUGUUGGGUUAAGUCCCGCAACGAGCGCAACCCUUAUCUUUAAUUGCCAGCAUUCAGUUGGGCACUUUAAAGAGACUGCCGGUGUUAAACCGGAGGAAGGUGGGAUGACGUCAAGUCCUCAUGGCCUUUAUGCUUAGGGCUACACACGUGCUACAAUGGGUGGUACAAAGAGAAGCCAACUCGCGAGAGCGCGCCAAUCUCAAAAAGCCAUCCUCAGUUCGGAUUGGAGUCUGCAACUCGACUCCAUGAAGUUGGAAUCGCUAGUAAUCGCGGAUCAGCAUGCCGCGGUCGAAUACGUUCCCGGGCCUU
This 474-nucleotide ribosomal RNA is filed under the name uncultured Rhodocyclaceae bacterium. RNAcentral's name for it is "bacterial SSU rRNA". It matches the Rfam family "Bacterial small subunit ribosomal RNA", at positions 910 to 1382 of the family's 1533-position model. The record is from RNAcentral. Lineage: Bacteria; Pseudomonadati; Pseudomonadota; Betaproteobacteria; Rhodocyclales; Rhodocyclaceae.